GAAUUCGAUUCAGGCCUAACACAUGCAAGUCGAACGGCAGCACGGGUGCUUGCACCUGGUGGCGAGUGGCGAACGGGUGAGUAAUAUAUCGGAACGUACCUUAUUGUGGGGGAUAACGCAGCGAAAGCUGUGCUAAUACCGCAUAAUCCCUAAGGGGGAAAGCGGGGGACCGUAAGGCCUCGCGCAAUUAGAGCGGCCGAUACCUGAUUAGCUAGCUGGUGAGGUAAAGGCUCACCAAGGCAACGAUCAGUAGCUGGUCUGAGAGGACGAUCAGCCACACUGGGACUGAGACACGGCCCAGACUCCUACGGGAGGCAGCAGUGAGGAAUUUUGGACAAUGGGGGCAACCCUGAUCCAGCAGUGCCGCGUGAGUGAAGAAGGCCUUCGGGUUGUAAAGCUAUGGGUCAGGGAAGAAACAGCAGCUCUAACACAGUUUGCGAAUGAC
RNAcentral lists this ribosomal RNA (445 nucleotides) under uncultured bacterium. RNAcentral's name for it is "bacterial SSU rRNA". It matches the Rfam family "Bacterial small subunit ribosomal RNA", at positions 39 to 473 of the family's 1533-position model. The record is from RNAcentral.